Molecule: ribosomal RNA, 1249 nt
Filed under: uncultured bacterium
Lineage: Bacteria
Description: partial 16S ribosomal RNA
Rfam family: Bacterial small subunit ribosomal RNA
Source: RNAcentral
GAGGGGUCUAUAUCCUAUUAGCUUGUUGGUGGGGUAACGGCCUACCAAGGCGAUGAUGGGUAGCGGGCCUGAGAGGGUGGCCCGCCACACUGGGACUGAGACACUGCCCAGACUCCUACGGGAGGCUGCAGUCGAGAAUCAUUCGCAAUGGGCGAAAGCCUGACGCAGCCACGCCGCGUGAGGGAUGAAGGCUUUCGGGUUGUAAACCUCUUUCAGCAGGGACGAAAAUGACGGUACCUGCAGAAGAAGCUCCGGCCAACUACGUGCCAGCAGCCGCGGUAAUACGAAGGGACCUAGCGUAGUUCGGAAUUACUGGGCUUAAAGAGCACGUAGGUGGUUGAAAAAGUUGGUGGUGAAAUCCCAAGGCUCAACCUUGGAACUGCCAUCAAAACUUUUUAGCUAGAGUGUGAUAGAGGGAAGUAGAAUUUCUAGUGUAGAGGUGAAAUUCGUAGAUAUUAGAAAGAAUACCGAUUGCGAAGGCAACUUCCUGGAUCACUACUGACACUAAGGUGCGAAAGCAUGGGUAGCGAAGAGGAUUAGAUACCCUCGUAGUCCAUGCCGUAAACGAUGUGUGCUAGACGUUGGAAACUUUGUUUUCAGUGUCGCAGCGAAAGCGUUAAGCACACCGCCUGGGGAGUACGACCGCAAGGUUAAAACUCAAAUGAAUUGACGGGGACCCGCACAAGCAGUGGAGCAUGUGGUUUAAUUCGAAGAUACGCGCAGAACCUUACCAACUCUUGACAUGUUCGUCGCGACUCUAAGAGAUUAGAGUUUUCGGUUCGGCCGGACGAAACACAGGUGCUGCAUGGCUGUCGUCAGCUCGUGUCGUGAGAUGUUGGGUUAAGUCCCGCAACGAGCGCAACCCUUACUUUUAGUUGCCAUCAUUUAGUUGGGCACUCUGAAAGAACUGCCAGUGAUAAGCUGGAGGAAGGUGGGGAUGACGUCAAGUCCUCAUGGCCCUUACGUGUUGGGCUACACACGUGCUACAAUGGUAUCUACAACAGGAAGCAAGAUGGCAACAUUAAGCAAAUCCUAAAAAGAUACCUCAGUUCGGAUUGCACUCUGCAACUCGAGUGCAUGAAGCUGGAAUUACUAGUAAUCGCGGAUCAGCGUGCCGCGGUGAAUACGUUCCCGGGUCUUGUACACACCGCCCGUCACACCAUGGGAGUUGGUUCUACCUUAAGGCAAAGUUUAAAAACUUUGACCACGGUAUAGUCGGCGACUGGGGUGAAGUCGUAACAAGGUAACC